GGAUGAACGCUGGCGGCGUGCCUAAUCCAUGCAAGUCGAGCGAACAGACGAGGAGCUUGCUCCUCUGACGUUAGCGGCGGACGGGUGAGUAACACGUGGAUAACCUACCUAUAAGACUGGGAUAACUUCGGGAAACCGGAGCUAAUACCGGAUAAUAUAUUGAACCGCAUGGUUCAAUAGUGAAAGACGGUUUUGCUGUCACUUAUAGAUGGAUCCGCGCCGCAUUAGCUAGUUGGUAAGGUAACGGCUUACCAAGGCAACGAUGUGUAGCCGACCUGAGAGGGUGAUCGGCCACACUGGAACUGAGACACGGUCCAGACUCCUACGGGAGGCAGCAGUAGGGAAUCUUCCGCAAUGGGCGAAAGCUUGACGGAGCAACGCCGCGUGAGUGAUGAAGGUCUUCGGAUCGUAAAACUCUGUUAUUAGGGAAGAACAAAUGUGUAAGUAACUAUGCACGUCUUGACGGUACCUAAUCAGAAAGCCACGGCUAACUACGUG
RNAcentral lists this ribosomal RNA (498 nucleotides) under uncultured bacterium. Its description in RNAcentral is "partial 16S ribosomal RNA". It matches the Rfam family "Bacterial small subunit ribosomal RNA", at positions 27 to 507 of the family's 1533-position model. The record is from RNAcentral.